GACGAACGCUGGCGGCGUGCUUAACACAUGCAAGUCGAACGGAAAGGCCCUGCUUUUGUGGGGUGCUCGAGUGGCGAACGGGUGAGUAACACGUGAGUAACCUGCCCUUGACUUUGGGAUAACUUCAGGAAACUGGGGCUAAUACCGGAUAGGAGCUCCUGCUGCAUGGUGGGGGUUGGAAAGUUUCGGCGGUUGGGGAUGGACUCGCGGCUUAUCAGCUUGUUGGUGGGGUAGUGGCUUACCAAGGCUUUGACGGGUAGCCGGCCUGAGAGGGUGACCGGCCACAUUGGGACUGAGACACGGCCCAGACUCCUACGGGAGGCAGCAGUGGGGAAUAUUGCACAAUGGGAGGAAGCCUGAUGCAGCAACGCCGCGUGCGGGAUGACGGCCUUCGGGUUGUAAACCGCUUUCGCCUGUGACGAAGCGUGAGUGACGGUAAUGGGUAAAGAAGCACCGGCUAACUACGUG
This 468-nucleotide ribosomal RNA is filed under the name uncultured bacterium. RNAcentral describes it as "partial 16S ribosomal RNA". It matches the Rfam family "Bacterial small subunit ribosomal RNA", at positions 28 to 507 of the family's 1533-position model. The record is from RNAcentral.